GAUGAACGCUAGCGGCAGGCUUAACACAUGCAAGUCGAGGGGUAUAGUAGCAAUACCAGAGACCGGCAAACGGGUGCGGAACACGUACAGAACCUACCCUGAUCUGGGGCAUAGCCCGAAGAAAUUCGGAUUAACUCCCCAUAAUAUAGAUGAGUGGCAUCACUUGACUAUUAAAAAUUUAUUGGAUCAGGAUGGCUGUG
RNAcentral lists this ribosomal RNA (200 nucleotides) under uncultured bacterium. RNAcentral describes it as "partial 16S ribosomal RNA". It matches the Rfam family "Bacterial small subunit ribosomal RNA", at positions 28 to 233 of the family's 1533-position model. The record is from RNAcentral.